Molecule: ribosomal RNA, 496 nt
Filed under: uncultured bacterium
Lineage: Bacteria
Description: partial 16S ribosomal RNA
Rfam family: Bacterial small subunit ribosomal RNA
Source: RNAcentral
GAUGAACGCUGGCGGCGUGCCUAAUACAUGCAAGUCGAGCGAACGGACGAGAAGCUUGCUUCUCUGAUGUUAGCGGCGGACGGGUGAGUAACACGUGGAUAACCUACCUAUAAGACUGGGAUAACUUCGGGAAACCGGAGCUAAUACCGGAUAAUAUUUUGAACCGCAUGGUUCUAAAGUAAAAGUCGGUCUUGCUGUCACUUAUAGAUGGAUCCGCGCUGCAUUAGCUAGUUGGUAAGGUAACGGCUUACCAAGGCAACGAUGCAUAGCCGACCUGAGAGGGUGAUCGGCCACACUGGAACUGAGACACGGUCCAGACUCCUACGGGAGGCAGCAGUAGGGAAUCUUCCGCAAUGGGCGAAAGCCUGACGGAGCAACGCCGCGUGAGUGAUGAAGGUCUUCGGAUCGUAAAACUCUGUUAUUAGGGAAGAACAUAUGUGUAAGUAACUGUGCACAUCUUGACGGUACCUAAUCAGAAAGCCACGGCUAACUACGU